This 497-nucleotide ribosomal RNA is filed under the name uncultured bacterium. Its description in RNAcentral is "partial 16S ribosomal RNA". It matches the Rfam family "Bacterial small subunit ribosomal RNA", at positions 28 to 507 of the family's 1533-position model. The record is from RNAcentral.
GGUGAACGCUGGCGGCGUGCCUAAUACAUGCAAGUCGAGCGGACACACGGGAAGCUCUCGCUCUUAAGGUUAGCGGCUGACGGGUGGGUGAGACGUGCAUCGCCUUCCACUUAUACGGGGGUGAUUUCGUGGAGACGGAGCUGCUAACGCCUAAUAUGACCAACGGCUUGGAUCAGUGGUGCAUCAGGGUUUUGCUGUCACUUAUAGCUGGAGUGGUGUCGGAUUAGCUAGUUGGUAAGGUAACGGCUCACCAAGGCGACGAUGCGUAGCCGAUCUGAGAGGAUGAUCAGCCACACUGGAACUGAGACACGGUCCAGACUCCUACGGGAGGCAGCAGUGGGGAAUAUUGGACAAAGGGCGAAAGCCUGAUGCAGCAAUACCGCGUGGGUGAAGAAGGUCUUCGGGUUGUAAAGCCCUGUUGUUGGGAAAGAAAAACAGCAGGUUAAUAUACCGCUGUUCUGACGGUACCCAAAGAAUAAGCACCGGCUAACUUCGUG